This 465-nucleotide ribosomal RNA is filed under the name uncultured Klebsiella sp. RNAcentral's name for it is "bacterial SSU rRNA". It matches the Rfam family "Bacterial small subunit ribosomal RNA", at positions 338 to 795 of the family's 1533-position model. The record is from RNAcentral. Lineage: Bacteria; Pseudomonadati; Pseudomonadota; Gammaproteobacteria; Enterobacterales; Enterobacteriaceae.
CCUACGGGAGGCAGCAGUGGGGAAUAUUGCACAAUGGGCGCAAGCCUGAUGCAGCCAUGCCGCGUGUGUGAAGAAGGCCUUCGGGUUGUAAAGCACUUUCAGCGGGGAGGAAGGCGGUGAGGCUAAUAACCUCAUCGAUUGACGUUACCCGCAGAAGAAGCACCGGCUAACUCCGUGCCACCAGCCGCGGUAAUACGGAGGGUGCAAGCGUUAAUCGGAAUUACUGGGCGUAAAGCGCACGCGGGCGGUCUGUCAAGUCGGAUGUGAAAUCCCCGGGCUCAACCUGGGAACUGCAUUCGAAACUGGCAGGCUAGAGUCUUGUAGAGGGGGGUAGAAUUCCAGGGGUAGCGGUGAAAUGCGUAGAGAUCUGGAGGAAUACCGGUGGCGAAGGCGGCCCCCUGGACAAAGACUGACGCUCAGGUGCGAAAGCGUGGGGAGCAAACAGGAUUAGAUACCCGAGUAGUC